This is a regulatory RNA element of 193 nucleotides. It matches the Rfam family "T-box leader". Rfam says of the family: Uncharged tRNA acts as the effector for transcription antitermination of genes in the T-box leader family. T-boxes are found upstream of many aminoacyl-tRNA synthetase genes and some amino acid biosynthetic genes usually in Gram-positive bacteria. The record is from Rfam.
GGUAACACGAAAAAGAGACUAGUACUUUAAAUUGUUUUUUAAAGAGAGUUCGCGUUUGGUGCAAGCGAAUAUAAACAGUUAAACGAAUCUACUCUUUAGUGACACUAAUCCUGUCCGUAUCUCUGCGUUAAAGAGUUUAAAGCUAGGUAUUCCUAGAAAAUAAGGUGGCACCGCGUAUAUUAACGCCCUUAAG